This 253-nucleotide ribosomal RNA is filed under the name uncultured bacterium. RNAcentral describes it as "partial 16S ribosomal RNA". It matches the Rfam family "Bacterial small subunit ribosomal RNA", at positions 524 to 776 of the family's 1533-position model. The record is from RNAcentral.
UACGGAGGGUGCGAGCGUUGUCCGGAAUCACUGGGCGUAAAGGGCGCGUAGGCGGCCGAUCAAGUCAGAUGUGAAAGUCCUGGGCUUAACCUGGGGACUGCAUUUGAUACUGAUUGGCUUGAAUUCGGGAGAGGAUAGCGGAAUUCCCAGUGUAGAGGUGAAAUUCGUAGAUAUUGGGAAGAACACCGGUGGCGAAGGCGGCUAUCUGGACCGACAUUGACGCUGAUGCGCGAAAGCGUGGGGAGCAAACAGG